UACGAAGGGGGCUAGCGUUGUUCGGAAUCACUGGGCGUAAAGGGCGCGUAGGCGGCUUGGCAAGUCAGGUGUGAAAGGCCUGGGCUCAACCCAGGAACUGCACUUGAGACUGCCUCGCUUGAGUCCGGGAGAGGAUGGCGGAAUUCCCAGUGUAGAGGUGAAAUUCGUAGAUAUUGGGAAGAACACCGGUGGCGAAGGCGGCCAUCUGGACCGGUACUGACGCUGAGGCGCGAAAGCGUGGGGAGCAAACAGGAUUAGAUACCCUGGUAGUCCACGCCGUAAACGAUGAGUGCUAGACGUCGGGGGGUUCACUCUCCGGUGUCGAAGCUAACGCAUUAAGCACUCCGCCUGGGGAGUACGGUCGCAAGAUUAAA
Molecule: ribosomal RNA, 374 nt
Filed under: uncultured bacterium
Lineage: Bacteria
Description: bacterial SSU rRNA
Rfam family: Bacterial small subunit ribosomal RNA
Source: RNAcentral